GCCUGAACUAAUUCAAGUACCAGAAGCCACGGGAGCCUGUGGCUCUCUGCAUUAGGAUAGGAACAGGAUUGGGUGGAUGUGUCUGUGAUGCUUUGACUCCAGAGGGGGAAACUGAGGCAUUGAGAGACAACAUGAUUUGCCUAAGGUGACUCAGCAGGCCAGUGACACAGACAGCAGCAUGAAAACUUUUUUUCAGUGGAGAGUUCAGCUUCUUCACUGACAGACCCGUUCGUCUGCGGGUCGCCAUUUUCCUCCUGCAGCCUGAUGGGCCAGGCUGUUGCAACGUCCUCCGAACUGCUCCUGCCAAUUUAUGCCCUGAAUGCAGUGAA
Molecule: long non-coding RNA, 329 nt
Organism: Dromaius novaehollandiae (emu)
Lineage: Eukaryota; Metazoa; Chordata; Aves; Casuariiformes; Dromaiidae
Exons: 3
Source: RefSeq, a predicted model, not a curated record